RNAcentral lists this ribosomal RNA (446 nucleotides) under uncultured bacterium. RNAcentral's name for it is "bacterial SSU rRNA". It matches the Rfam family "Bacterial small subunit ribosomal RNA", at positions 329 to 792 of the family's 1533-position model. The record is from RNAcentral.
CACCAGACUCCUACGGGAGGCAGCAGUGGGGAAUAUUGCACAAUGGGGGAAACCCUGAUGCAGCGACGCCGCGUGAGUGAAGAAGUAUUUCGGUAUGUAAAGCUCUAUCAGCAGGGAAGAAAAUGACGGUACCUGAUUAAGAAGCCCCGGCUAACUACGUGCCAGCAGCCGCGGUAAUACGUAGGGGGCAAGCGUUAUCCGGAUUUACUGGGUGUAAAGGGAGCGUAGACGGCAGGGCAAGUCUGGAGUGAAAGCCCGGGGCCCAACCCCGGGACUGCUUUGGAAACUGCCAUGCUAGAGUGCUGGAGAGGUAAGCGGAAUUCCUAGUGUAGCGGUGAAAUGCGUAGAUAUUAGGAGGAACACCAGUGGCGAAGGCGGCUUGCUGGACAGUAACUGACGUUGAGGCUCGAAAGCGUGGGGAGCAAACAGGAUUAGAUACCCUGGUA